Molecule: long non-coding RNA, 2282 nt
Organism: Mus musculus (house mouse)
Lineage: Eukaryota; Metazoa; Chordata; Mammalia; Rodentia; Muridae
Product: expressed sequence AU041480
Exons: 3
Source: RefSeq, marked validated
ACACUCAGAUUCAAACUGCCUCUGUGUUUGAUUCUGUUUGUCACUGCCGAAUCCUUACCCAUCUAGCUUUGAGGACCCUCAUUCUAGGGACCCCCACACCCGACUGGGCUGGUCUGUAGCAAUCCUUGAACUCACUCUACAGACCAAACUGGCCUUGAACUCAGAGAUCUGCCUGCCUUUUGUCUCCAGUGUACUGGAAUUGAAGGAGUUUCAUGGGUUGGCAUCAUGGUGUAAGCACAUGUCAAAGUGAGAACUCAUGUUGUAUGAAGAACUUCCAUGAGGCCUCCCAUCUCUUCUCCCCAGUUCUUACCAUCAUACCCCAGAAAACCAACCUCCCUCACAGGAAUUCUCCAGCAGCAAGCAGCUCCGGAGACGAAGCUGUCCUGAGGACCAAGAUGCCACAUCUGCACCCCAAGAUAAAGAAUCUACAUCAGCUGCUGUCGGAAGGGAGGACAUCAGCCACGGUGAGCAUCACCAACGUGAGAGAAGAGAGGACUUGGAUGGAUGAGCUCCUGACACCUCCUCACCUCCAGCUUGGAAAUGAGCAGUCAGCCUCUCAUAACUGACUAGAUGCACCUCGCUAGUGGGAUGAAAAAGACCGUUUCUAAGAUGUCAUUGCUGCAGGGUCUCUCUGCCCCAAGUCACCCACCUGUCUACAGGUUCACAGGAUCGUGCAGGGUGUUCACCAUAGCCAGGGGGCGGGGCAGGAGUGGAAUGACCAGAUUACACUGGUUUCUUGCAAAGGGCCAUUCUUCCAAGUCUGUACCGCUGAAUCAAGACUGUCCAUACAUGAACUCACAAGCCCUUUUCAUGUGCUUGCUACAAGGUAGGGCGUGUGCUAGGUCCUAAGGGUGCAGGGUAUAGUGUAUGUAAUUUAGAUGAAAAUGUCCCUCGAAAGUCUAUGUGCUAAAGUCUGGUCCUCAGUUGGCACUGUUGGAAGGCAGUAGAAACUUUGAGAUGUGGGGAAGAGUUGGGGGGUCUUGAGUUCAUGGGGUAGAUGCCUUAGGAUGGGAUGGUGGAACGGAGACCUUUCCGUUUUUCUCCUUUUUGUUUCCUGUCAAUGUGGUGAAUGAUUUGGAUCUCUGUGUGUUCCCACUAUGAUGUGCUUUGCUGGUCCAGGCCCGAAGCAACCGGAACUAACAGCACUCUCCACUCUGUGAUGAGAUGCUUAGCUCAGCUAUUUGUUCCUGUGAGGAGAAGCUGACAGACACUUGGUUGUGAGCAAAACCAAACAUGGCACCUAUUCUCAUGGAGUGUGUAGUCACGCCAGAAUAAGGGACAAGGAUUAACCCCAAAGAUAAGGGCAAUUCUACCGCCAGAAGAGCAACUACAUAUAAAAUGGAUGCAAGCAGACUUCCCUGACCUAGAGAGGUUUGUGGGCGACUCUAGUAGAAGCUGAGCUUGGAAAGGCUAAGUGAAGGCCGAAAGGGAAAGUCGCCAGUAUCCAGCUGUGAGGAGACCCAGUGGCCCUGUGGACUGAGCAGUCAGGUUGUGGAUAGGUCUUCUGUGGGUGGCAGACAGGGAACAGGAAGGGGCUUAGACACAGUGGAGAUGGAGAAGGAUUGGCUGGCUGUGUGUGUGAAGAGAAGCUGGAACAGCUAGAUGCUUCCAGAAAAGGAGGAUGCCUUGGGGCUGAAUGUGCUGAGGGCAAAAGCAGAGAGACAGGUCCUUCCCUGUUCGAGGAGUUCAAGUGCCCCCUUUCUUCCUCAGAGCAUCAUGUAAAUAAGGUCUGAGAAUCACCUGGGAGCACUAAGAGAAGGGCUUCAUUCAGAUGACACAAACCCCACAGAAUGUUGUUGAUGAGCCGCCUCUGUUAGAAAAGUGCUUGCUGCACAGGCCUGGAGGCCUGAGUCAAGUGCUUAGCAUCUGUGUAAAAGCUGGGCAUGGCAGAGCAUGCCUGUAAUUCCAAUGCUGGAGUGACAGAGAGGAUCCUGGGGUUUGCUGACCAGCCAGUCUAGCUAUUCACCCAGCUCUGGGUUUGGUGAGAAGCACUGUCUCAAAAAUAAUGUGGAGAAAGGCAGCCUGCAUGGCUCGGUGGCUGCUUAAAACGCAGGUGUGGAAAAUGGCCCUUUUCCCGAGGCUAGAAAUACCUGAAGGAGAAAUGAAAGAGUCCUUGCCUUGAUGCCUCCCAGACAACACUGUUUCUGCUAAUGCUACUUUUGAUUCUGAGAUGGUGCAAAGAGGCUCCAAGCUUGUCCACGGGAAGUCAGGUUGACCGCCCCUGGCUGUGCUGUUUACUGACUGAAUAAAUAUACAAACCCUUUGUCUCUUCUACCUCUGCG